Molecule: ribosomal RNA, 253 nt
Filed under: uncultured bacterium
Lineage: Bacteria
Description: partial 16S ribosomal RNA
Rfam family: Bacterial small subunit ribosomal RNA
Source: RNAcentral
UACAGAGGGGGCUAGCGUUGUUCGGAAUUACUGGGCGUAAAGCGUACGUAGGCGGCUUUGUAAGUUAGAGGUGAAAGCCCGGGGCUCAACUCCGGAAUUGCCUUUAAGACUGCAUCGCUUGAAUCAUGGAGAGGUGAGUGGAAUUCCGAGUGUAGAGGUGAAAUUCGUAGAUAUUCGGAAGAACACCAGUGGCGAAGGCGACUCACUGGACAUGUAUUGACGCUGAGGUACGAAAGCGUGGGGAGCAAACAGG